RNAcentral lists this ribosomal RNA (88 nucleotides) under Enterobacter hormaechei. RNAcentral describes it as "partial 23S ribosomal RNA". The stretch from base 1 to 75 matches the Rfam family "Bacterial large subunit ribosomal RNA", at positions 2851 to 2925 of the family's 2925-position model. The record is from RNAcentral. Lineage: Bacteria; Pseudomonadati; Pseudomonadota; Gammaproteobacteria; Enterobacterales; Enterobacteriaceae.
CGUUGAUAGGUCGGGUGUGUAAGCGCAGCGAUGCGUUGAGCUAACCGAUACUAAUGAACCGUGAGGCUUAACCUUACAACGCCGAAGC